This 434-nucleotide ribosomal RNA is filed under the name uncultured Acetivibrio sp. Its description in RNAcentral is "bacterial SSU rRNA". It matches the Rfam family "Bacterial small subunit ribosomal RNA", at positions 341 to 792 of the family's 1533-position model. Lineage: Bacteria; Bacillati; Bacillota; Clostridia; Acetivibrionales; Acetivibrionaceae. The record is from RNAcentral.
ACGGAAGGCAGCAGUGGGGGAUAUUGCGCAAUGGGGGGAACCCUGACGCAGCAACGCCGCGUGAAGGAAGACGGUCUUCGGAUUGUAAACUUCUUUAAGUGUGGAAGAAAUUGACGGUACACACAGAAUAAGCCACGGCUAACUACGUGCCAGCAGCCGCGGUAAUACGUAGGUGGCGAGCGUUGUCCGGAUUUACUGGGUGUAAAGGGCGUGUAGGCGGGAUUACAAGUCAGAUGUGAAAUACCGAGGCUUAACUUCGGAGCUGCAUUUGAAACUGUAGUUCUUGAGUGCUGGAGAGGAAAGCGGAAUUCCUAGUGUAGCGGUGAAAUGCGUAGAUAUUAGGAGGAACACCAGUGGCGAAGGCGGCUUUCUGGACAGUAACUGACGCUGAGGCGCGAAAGUGUGGGGAGCAAACAGGAUUAGAUACCCUGGUA